AAGCGGUGGAGCAUGUGGUUUAAUUCGACGCAACGCGCAGAACCUUACCAACCCUUGACAUACUCGUCGUCGGUCCAGAGAUGGAUCUUUCAGUUCGGCUGGACGAGAUACAGGUGCUGCAUGGCUGUCGUCAGCUCGUGUCGUGAGAUGUUCGGGUAAGUCCGGCAACGAGCGCAACCCACGUCCUUAGUUGCCAGCAGGUUAAGCUGGGCACUCUAGGGAAACUGCCGGUGAUAAGCCGGAGGAAGGUGUGGAUGACGUCAAGUCCUCAUGGCCCUUACGGGUUGGGCUACACACGUGCUACAAUGGCAGUGACAAUGGGUUAAUCCCAAAAAGCUGUCUCAGUUCGGAUUGGGGUCUGCAACUCGACCCCAUGAAGUCGGAAUCGCUAGUAAUCGCGUAACAGCAUGACGCGGUGAAUACGUUCCCGGGCCUUGUACACACCGCCCGUCACACCAUGGGAGUUGGAUCUACCCGAAGGCCGUGCGCCAACCUUUCGAGGAGGCAGCGGACCACGGUGGGUUCAGCGACUGGGGUG
This 538-nucleotide ribosomal RNA is filed under the name uncultured bacterium. RNAcentral describes it as "bacterial SSU rRNA". It matches the Rfam family "Bacterial small subunit ribosomal RNA", at positions 927 to 1482 of the family's 1533-position model. The record is from RNAcentral.